GAAAAAAAAAAGAUGAGAGACUUCUCAUUUAUUUGGUCUCCUGGUCCUCCCUCUCUCUUCCUUUUCCCCGUCACUCUCCUCUCAUCUUGGACUAUCACACUCUCUAACUCUCCCGGCCCUCAUCUCUCUCGCACGACCCUCAUCCUCCUUCAAAACCCAAAAAACUGGCGAUUCCACGGAACUGAAACCAAGCUGAAGUCCCCAUCCUUCUCUGUUCCCCCAUCAUCACUGUUCUCUCCUCCCUCGGAACCCUGCAACAUCACCAUCGCGGCAGAGCCGCCUUCUCCGGCGAGUUCGUCGAUUUCCCGACUUGGGGUAAGCCUCGGGAUGCUUAAGAUCUUCAACUGUUACUUAUCUUUUUGUCCUAUUUGCUGCUAAUGAUUUGUAGCAAGAGUUGAUUUUUAACUGUUUCUAAUUGGUAAUGGAUUAAAGGAAGUUCAUUUACUAUUAGAGGUGCAUGUGAAAGUAAGCUUGAUUCGUAACCUCGUCGAGCAUUUGGAGCUCGCUUUGACUGAGGUUUUUCGAUUUGAUGUGAUGGCGUAUAAGCUUUUCUCAGUUUCUCGGUCAUUUUAAGGGUGACCAAGAUUAUCUCUGUGAGCAAUGUUGAGGUUAGGGAUUGGAAGUAAAUGAAAAGGGGUGUCUUUUCAUCAAAGGCUGAGGCCAAGAUUAUCUUUUGAGAAAACUUUGAGGCCUUACCUAGAUUGCAAGUCUCUGUUAAGUUCCAAUUGACGAAGAUGUUUAAAACUGUUGAAAUUAUACUGCCUUAAUUGAAAGGAGGCCUUACCUAGGAUAAUAUCUAGCUCAUUCGGGGUCUUUUUUUGGUUCUUUAACUACAUGAAAUUUGCAUUGAGAUGAAUUCUUAUCCUGAAUGAGUACAUGUGAGAAUCACGCGUGAUUGACGGAAAAUUAUGAAAUAAGAUAAUGAAUUCCGAAGGCUGGGUGCUCAGCUGGAGAUGCGGAUAAACAAAGAAUUAUAUGUUGAUUUGAAAAGGAAGACGUUUAUAUUGUUGAUUGGAGUAUAUAUGGCCGAUGAGAAUAUGCUAAACCGAUAGUUGCUCCUUGUAGGUUGCGGGGGAAGUGGUAACAUUAUGUGUUCAGAAUGUGGUGGCCGCGGGUAUCUAAGAUGACCAUACCGGUUCGCUUAUCUUCCUUGAAUUUGUUGUAUGUGCAAGUAACUUGUGUUAUAGCCAUGACGCUUUCCCUAAUUUUUUGUGGCUGAUUCCACGAUGAGUUAAGUGUAACAGUAAUGCAUCUGAUUCAUUUACUCUUCGAAAUGGUGUUCUUCCUCAGAUUUAUGUGCCAUUUAUCGUGUUGAAUGUUCAGAACCAU
This 1329-nucleotide long non-coding RNA is filed under the name Malus domestica (apple). Its description in RNAcentral is "long non-coding RNA (MDOM_LNC013621)". The record is from RNAcentral. Lineage: Eukaryota; Viridiplantae; Streptophyta; Magnoliopsida; Rosales; Rosaceae.